UUCGGACUGUAGUCUGCAACCCGACUACACGAAGCCGGAAUCGCUAGUAAUCGCGAAUCAGAAUGUCGCGGUGAAUACGUUCCCGGGCCUUGUACACACCGCCCGUCACACCAUGGGAGCCGGAAAUGCCCGAAGCCAGUGACCCAACCUUAGGGAGGGAGCUGUCGAAGGUGGAGCCGGUAACUGGGGUGAAGUCGUAACAAGGUACC
This 209-nucleotide ribosomal RNA is filed under the name uncultured bacterium. Its description in RNAcentral is "partial 16S ribosomal RNA". It matches the Rfam family "Bacterial small subunit ribosomal RNA", at positions 1292 to 1500 of the family's 1533-position model. The record is from RNAcentral.